UAAUUCUCUAGUGGCGCACGGGUGAGUAACACGUGAGUAACCUGCCCCCGAGAGCGGGAUAGCCCUGGGAAACUGGGAUUAAUACCGCAUAGUAUCGAAAGAUUAAAGCAGCAAUGCGCUUGGGGAUGGGCUCGCGGCCUAUUAGUUAGUUGGUGAGGUAACGGCUCACCAAGGCGAUGACGGGUAGCCGGUCUGAGAGGAUGUCCGGCCACACUGGAACUGAGACACGGUCCAGACACCUACGGGAGGCAGCAG
Molecule: ribosomal RNA, 255 nt
Filed under: uncultured bacterium
Lineage: Bacteria
Description: partial 16S ribosomal RNA
Rfam family: Bacterial small subunit ribosomal RNA
Source: RNAcentral